Molecule: long non-coding RNA, 1717 nt
Organism: Dromaius novaehollandiae (emu)
Lineage: Eukaryota; Metazoa; Chordata; Aves; Casuariiformes; Dromaiidae
Exons: 3
Source: RefSeq, a predicted model, not a curated record
GACUGAGGAAAAGCAAAGGUCAAACUGGUCAAUAUUUACUCAAGAAACUCUACAUCUUGAUGUACUGUAACACACACUCUGAACAUCUUCAUCAGAUAUCUCCGGAGACCUUUCGUUAUGAGUAAGGAUUUCAAAAGUAUCACCGCUUUUCCUCUAAAAUCUAUACUUUAAAAAGAGAAACCCGUCUACGCCCACUGCGAGGGGCAGCUCUGCAGGAGCGCGGCGCGGGCGCAGGCGGCGGUGUUUAUUUACGAGCGCCAUCUCGCCAGGCCGCAUUCCUGCGCCCGCGCUGCCGACCUCCAAAGACGCGCACAAGACACGCUUUGACUCAUCACAUGACAGCAUCGCAGACUACCAGCAACGAGCACUUCUUCCUGGAGCACGAUUGUUUAAAACAAAAAUUCCAAGAAAUUCAUAAAGACUAAGUUUUUCCAAAGAAGCCCAAGGAAGGUAGACACCCAAAUCCUCUGGCACAUCAGCAAGGAAUAAUAGGUAGGUUGUGGGCUCGUGUCUGCAGCAGCAUGAAUGGGCCACCAAGGGCUGUCAGCGGAGGAGAGGCAGCACCGCGGCCGAACAAAGGGGAGCCAGGACGGGAGCAAGCGAAACCGAAGAGCCUGACACGCAGGACUGAGGUGCGGGAGGACCGGAACAGGGCAGAGCGCGGGGGAGCCGGAUCCCCGGCCACCGCGCACCCAGGCACAAGCUUCCCUCCUCUGCUUGGAGCCACCUCCACCGCCACCACCAGCUGGCUCAGAGCCACGCUCCCGCUGGGCAAAGGCUCUCCGGCAUCGCUGAAAACGUCACCCAGCCACCCGACUCCCGGAGCCGUGCAGCCCCUAGCAGGACGACUCCUGCACGCGCAGAAAAAGACGUAGGAUUUCCACAGCCCAAGCCCGCGGCCUCCCUGCGCCGAAAGCGCAGACGGCUGGGAUCGAACAGUCCCAGAGACGCACACGCCAAAAGCUAGCUUUUCCCACCACUCUGUGACAGGUAUGUUAUUUCCUUUAAAAGAAUAUCAGGCCUCGCUAAAAAAUCCCCCUGCUCCUGGAACCGUAUGCAACCCCUAAUGUGGAACUGAAGUCUAAAUUCAAAGACCAAUUAAAAAAAAAAUCAAUGAAAUGCUUUUAUGAAACAGGAGAUUGAUCUGCAGCUUAAAACUUCCAGUAAUGUAAUAUUUUAGAACUUUAAUAAAUAAUGCUUUUAUCUUGAUUGCAAAAUAAUACCCUGCCAUGAAAACACGGAGCAGAGGUAGGAAACUGUUCGACAAGAAUUAAAAUGUCACACUUUGCAUAGAGUGCAGCAUUACCAUUAUUGGUGAAACACAUUUUUCAAACUUGUUAACACAAAAUUAACAAUUACAUACAUCACUUAAUUCUAUAAGUGCAUAUCCCUUGAAGUACCCAUUAGCUAACCAUGCCUAGUUCAGUUUUAAUAUACAUGCAGGCUUUGCAGCACAGAGGGGAUGUAACUAUGCGAGCGCUGGCACAGUAAACCCUGAAAUGGCAAGUGCUAUUAAAUUGAGAUGCAAUCACGUUGAAAGGGAAACAUUAACAAACAGCAGACAAUUGAGAAGAAAAUACAGGGCGCUUGUGUUCUCAUACAUGUGCUUCAAAACCUUAUAUAACUAUUCAUUGUCUAUUGCAUCUGGCCAUGGGCCCAGUUUGUUCUAUGCUAUGCUAUACUAAUUUUAUAAUAAUAAACUGUUACACAAGCUUUA